This 503-nucleotide ribosomal RNA is filed under the name uncultured bacterium. RNAcentral describes it as "partial 16S ribosomal RNA". It matches the Rfam family "Bacterial small subunit ribosomal RNA", at positions 30 to 523 of the family's 1533-position model. The record is from RNAcentral.
AUUGAACGCUGGCGGCAGGCUUAACACAUGCAAGUCGAGCGGAGUGAUGGUGCUUGCACUAUCACUUAGCGGCGGACGGGUGAGUAAUGCUUAGGAAUCUGCCUAUUAGUGGGGGACAACAUCUCGAAAGGGAUGCUAAUACCGCAUACGUCCUACGGGAGAAAGCAGGGGAUCACUUGUGACCUUGCGCUAAUAGAUGAGCCUAAGUCGGAUUAGCUAGUUGGUGGGGUAAAGGCCUACCAAGGCGACGAUCUGUAGCGGGUCUGAGAGGAUGAUCCGCCGCACUGGGACUGAGACACGGCCCAGACUCCUACGGGAAGCAGCAGUGGGGAAUAUUGGACAAUGGGGGGAACCCUGAUCCAGCCAUGCCGCGUGUGUGAAGAAGGCCUUGUGGUUGUAAAGCACUUUAAGCGAGGAGGAGGCUCUUUUGGUUAAUACCCAAGAUGAGUGGACGUUACUCGCAGAAUAAGCACCGGCUAACUCUGUGCCAGCCGCCGCCGUAA